UUGGAGGGCAAGUCUGGUGCCAGCAGCCGCGGUAAUUCCAGCUCCAAUAGCGUAUAUUAAAGUUGUUGCAGUUAAAAAGCUCGUAGUUGAAUUUCGGGAUCAAUUUAUUGGUCGUGCUAUUGUACGUACUGGUAUUAUUGAUUCCUACCUUCUGACGAACCAUGAUGUCAUUAAUUUGGUGUCUUGGGGAAUCAGGACUGUUACUUUGAAAAAAUUAGAGUGUUUAAAGCAGGCUCACGCUUGAAUACAUUAGCAUGGAAUAACGAAAUAGGACGUUUGAUUCUAUUUUGUUGGUUUCUAGGAUCGACGUAAUGAUUAAUAGGGAUAGUUGGGGGCAUUAGUAUUCAAUUGUCAGAGGUGAAAUUCUUGGAUUUAUUGAAGACUAACUACUGCGAAAGCAUUUGCCAAGGAUGUUUUCAUUAAUCAAGAACGAAAGUUAGGGGAUCGAAGACGAUCAGAUACCGUCGUAGUCUUAACCAUAAACUAUGCCGACUAGGGAUCGGAUGAUGUUAAUUUUUUAAUGACUCAUUCGGCGCCUUACGGGAAAC
RNAcentral lists this ribosomal RNA (548 nucleotides) under uncultured Glomus. RNAcentral's name for it is "SSU rRNA". It matches the Rfam family "Eukaryotic small subunit ribosomal RNA", at positions 548 to 1098 of the family's 1831-position model. Lineage: Eukaryota; Fungi; Glomeromycota; Glomeromycetes; Glomerales; Glomeraceae. The record is from RNAcentral. RNAcentral also lists the same sequence under 1 other name.